AGAGUUUGAUCCUGGCUCAGGACGAACGCUGGCGGCGUGCCUAAUACAUGCAAGUCGAGCGAGCGGAACUAACAGAUUUACUUCGGUAAUGACGUUAGGAAAGCGAGCGGCGGAUGGGUGAGUAACACGUGGGGAACCUGCCCCAUAGUCUGGGAUACCACUUGGAAACAGGUGCUAAUACCGGAUAAGAAAGCAGAUCGCAUGAUCAGCUUUUAAAAGGCGGCGUAAGCUGUCGCUAUGGGAUGGCCCCGCGGUGCAUUAGCUAGUUGGUAAGGUAAAGGCUUACCAAGGCGAUGAUGCAUAGCCGAGUUGAGAGACUGAUUGGCCACAUUGGGACUGAGACACGGCCCAAACUCCUACGGGAGGCAGCAGUAGGGAAUCUUCCACAAUGGACGCAAGUCUGAUGGAGCAACGCCGCGUGAGUGAAGAAGGUUUUCGGAUCGUAAAGCUCUGUUGUUGGUGAAGAAGGAUAGAGGUAGUAACUGGCCUUUAUUUGACGGUAAUCAACCAGAAAGUCACGGCUAACUACGUGCCAGCAGCCGCGGUAAUACGUAGGUGGCAAGCGUUGUCCGGAUUUAUUGGGCGUAAAGCGAGCGCAGGCGGGAAGAAUUAAGUCUGGAUGUGAAAGCCCUCGGCUUAACCGAGGAACU
This 650-nucleotide ribosomal RNA is filed under the name uncultured bacterium. RNAcentral describes it as "bacterial SSU rRNA". It matches the Rfam family "Bacterial small subunit ribosomal RNA", at positions 8 to 622 of the family's 1533-position model. The record is from RNAcentral.